AGCUCCAAGAGCGUAUAUUAAAGUUGUUGCAGUUAAAAAGCUCGUAGUUGGAUUUCUGGUAUAACGGUCCUGGCCCGCGACGGUUACGUCUGUGAGUGCCGGUGAGUGUUUGCCAUCCUUCUAGAAAACGUUUCUACCCUUUGCUGGGCCGGAUUCGCGAUCUAGAUCUUUUACUUUGAAAAAAUUAGAGUGUUUAAAGCAGGCUUUUGCUAUGAAUACAUUAGCAUGGAAUAAUAAUCUAGGACUUCGGUUCUAUUUUGUUGGUUUCUAGUACUGAAGUAAUGAUUGAUAGGGAUAGUUGGGGGUGCUAGUAUUGGCCGGCCAGAGGUGAAAUUCUUGGAUUCGGUCAAGACUAACUUAUGCGAAAGCAUUCACCAAGGAUGUCUUCU
RNAcentral lists this ribosomal RNA (389 nucleotides) under uncultured eukaryote. RNAcentral's name for it is "SSU rRNA". It matches the Rfam family "Eukaryotic small subunit ribosomal RNA", at positions 587 to 972 of the family's 1831-position model. The record is from RNAcentral.